RNAcentral lists this ribosomal RNA (274 nucleotides) under uncultured bacterium. RNAcentral describes it as "partial 16S ribosomal RNA". It matches the Rfam family "Bacterial small subunit ribosomal RNA", at positions 523 to 796 of the family's 1533-position model. The record is from RNAcentral.
AUACGGAGGGGGUUAGCGUUGUUCGGAAUUACUGGGCGUAAAGCGUACGUAGGCGGAUCGGAAAGUAAGGGGUGAAAUCCCAGGGCUCAACCCUGGAACUGCCUCUUAAACUCCCGGUCUUGAGUUAGAGAGAGGUGAGUGGAAUUCCUAGUGUAGAGGUGAAAUUCGUAGAUAUUAGGAGGAACACCAGUGGCGAAGGCGGCUCACUGGCUCGAUACUGACGCUGAGGUACGAAAGUGUGGGGAGCAAACAGGAUUAGAAACCCUAGUAGUCC